ACAUCGCCUCUUGCCACUAAUAAGAGGUCUAGCCUGCCCAGUGACAAAGUUCAACGGCCGCGGUACCCUAACCGCGCGAAGGUAGCAUAAUCACUUGUUCCUUAAAUAGGGACUUGUAUCAAUGGCAUCACGAGGGUCGCACUGUCUCCCUUUUCUAAUCAGUGAAACUGAUCCCCCCGUGAAAAAGCGGGGAUAAAUAUAUAAGACGAGAAGACCCCAUGGAGCUUUAAACCUACAGCAACUCAACUAUAAACUUCCACAUAAAUUCAGAAAAAUGCUUGUUGGUUUUAGGUUGGGGUGACCACGGAGUAAAAAAUAACCUCCAUAGCGCAUAAGCCUAAACUUUCAUUUAAGAACCACAACUCUAGAAACUAGAACACUAACGCGUACUGAUCCGACGAUCGAUUAAUGGACCAAGUUACCCUGGGGAUAACAGCGCAAUCUAUUUCAAGAGUCCAUAUCGACAAAUAGGCUUACGACCUCGAUGUUGGAUCAGGGUAUCCCAGUGGUGCAGCCGCUACUAACGGUUCGUUUGUUCAACGAUUAAAACCCUACGUGAUU
RNAcentral lists this ribosomal RNA (561 nucleotides) under Raorchestes malipoensis (Malipo bush frog). Its description in RNAcentral is "Raorchestes sp. m JH-2022 partial large subunit ribosomal RNA". It matches the Rfam family "Bacterial large subunit ribosomal RNA", at positions 1813 to 2605 of the family's 2925-position model. Lineage: Eukaryota; Metazoa; Chordata; Amphibia; Anura; Rhacophoridae. The record is from RNAcentral.